UCCGCAAUGGACGAAAGUCUGACGGAGCACGCCGCGUGAGUGAUGAAGGCUUUCGGGUCGUAAAACUCUGUUGUUAGGGAAGAACAAGUGCUAGUUGAAUAAGCUGGCACCUUGACGGUACCUAACCAGAAAGCCACGGCUAACUACGUGCCAGCAGCCGCGGUAAUACGUAAGUGGCAAGCGUUAUCCGGAAUUAUUGGGCGUAAAGCGCGCGCAGGUGGUUUCUUAAGUCUGAUGUGAAAGCCCACGGCUCAACCGUGGAGGGUCAUUGGAAACUGGGAGACUUGAGUGCAGAAGAGGAAAGUGGAAUUCCAUGUGUAGCGGUGAAAUGCGUAGAGAUAUGGAGGAACACCAGUGGCGAAAGCGACUUUCUGGUCUGUUACUGACACUGAGGCGCGAAAGCGUGGGGAGCAAACAGGAUAGAUACCCUGGUAGUCCACGCCGUAAACGAUGAGUGCUAAGUGUUAGAGGGUUUCCGCCCUUUAGUGCUGAAGUUAAACGCAUUAAGCACUCCGCCUGGGGAGUACGGCCGCAAGGCUGAAACUCAAAAGGGAAUUGACCGGGGGCCCGCCACAACGGUGGAACAAUGUGGUUUAAUUUCGAAGCAAACGCGAAAAACCCUUACCAGGGUCCUUGGCAUCUUCUGAAAACCCUAAAAAUAGGGGUCUUCUCCCUUCGGGAAACAAAGUGACAGGUGNUGCAUGGUUGUNGUCAGCUCGUGUCGUGAGAUGUUGGGUUAAGUCCCGCAACGAGCGCAACCCUUGAUCUUAGUUGCCAUCAUUAAGUUGGGCACUCUAAGGUGACUGCCGGUGACAAACCGGAGGAAGGUGGGGAUGACNUCAAAUCAUCAUGCCCCUUAUGACCUGGGCUACACACGUGCUACAAUGGACGGUACAAAGAGCUGCAAGACCGCGAGGUGGAGCUAAUCUCAUAAAACCGUUCUCAGUUCGGAUUGUAGGCUGCAACUCGCCUACAUGAAGCUGGAAUCGNUAGGAAUCGNCGUAUCAGC
Molecule: ribosomal RNA, 1009 nt
Filed under: Bacillus sp. L1k
Lineage: Bacteria; Bacillati; Bacillota; Bacilli; Caryophanales; Bacillaceae
Description: bacterial SSU rRNA
Rfam family: Bacterial small subunit ribosomal RNA
Source: RNAcentral